UACGGGGGGGGCAAGCGUUGUUCGGAAUUAUUGGGCGUAAAGAGCUUGUAGGCGGUCUGUCGCGUCUGCUGUGAAAAUCCGGGGCUCAACCCCGGACUUGCAGUGGGUACGGGCAGACUAGAGUGUGGUAGGGGAGACUGGAAUUCCUGGUGUAGCGGUGAAAUGCGCAGAUAUCAGGAGGAACACCGAUGGCGAAGGCAGGUCUCUGGGCCACUACUGACGCUGAGAAGCGAAAGCGUGGGGAGCGAACAGG
Molecule: ribosomal RNA, 253 nt
Filed under: uncultured bacterium
Lineage: Bacteria
Description: partial 16S ribosomal RNA
Rfam family: Bacterial small subunit ribosomal RNA
Source: RNAcentral